This is a long non-coding RNA of Alligator sinensis (Chinese alligator), 896 nucleotides long. RefSeq lists it as uncharacterized. The transcript is spliced from 4 exons. The record is from RefSeq and is a predicted model, not a curated record. NCBI's taxonomy places the organism in Eukaryota, Metazoa, Chordata, Crocodylia, Alligatoridae.
GAUCUUAACCUUCAGCUUCCGUCACAGACUCUGUAAGCCUGACAUGUUCGCUAAGAAGAGCUGGAUGAUACCAGGGGCACAGCUUACACAAACACGUGGAAACGGGCCGGCGACUAGAUGAAGCUUCCAAGCAGCCCCAGGGUGGAGGCACUCUCCAGCCAUCACCGGGGACCGGCCGGGAGGGAGGAGGAGGAGGACAGGGAUGGCGGUCGGGCCGCGGGAGGAGCCCACUGUCGCUGCAGCCCCGUGAGGAGACCGGGGCCGAGCCCGGGCCCGCCUGGGGCCUCCGAGCAGCGCGUGCUAACGAGAAGUAUGUCAACAUGCCAUGAAGCCAAAAGGAGCAGAGAAAGCAAAGGAGUCAAGAAAAGGAAAGAAUUUCAACCAUUUCUCUGAGAAAGGAGCAUGUGAAAUGAGAGGCUACUGCAAUGCUGUGAAAUCUGUUACACUCUGUGACCUGGCACUGAUGAAGCAUGGUACAAAGCAGCACCUUGCACUGCUGCAGUCCCUCGAUCUGACGUUCAGGACAAGUCACAAUCUGAUCCUACAUUUGCAGAAACAAUCACCUAAGAGGAGUAAAUUGUUCAAAGCUCACAUGUGAAAUCUUGUUUUGAUGUGAAAUCUUCACUGGUUGAAAUCAAUGAAGCUCAGAUUACCACAUGCAAGGGGUGAAGAGAACUACAUUUCCAGGUAUUAAUAAAAUACAUUUCAGAAUUCCUUAGAGGGUUAAACACUAAGUUAAACAUUUACUCAUUCACCUUACACUAAGUAUUGAUAGCCUCCCAACAAUGAUAUUUAACUCUAGCCACCUUUGUUUUUUUCUUCCAAGCAAGACAUCUGUCAGCUGUUGCUUAUGAAUUAGGAGAAAAUAAUUAAAUUUAAUUUUACAUAUUACUUAA